Molecule: small RNA, 126 nt
Filed under: Marmota monax (woodchuck)
Lineage: Eukaryota; Metazoa; Chordata; Mammalia; Rodentia; Sciuridae
Source: RNAcentral
GCCAGGUGAAGUGGCCCAUGCCUGUAAUUCCAGCAGCUUGGGAGGCUGAGACAGGAGGAUCACAAGUUCAAAGCCAGUCUCAGGCAAUGGUGAGGUGCUAAGCAACUCAGUGAGACCCUGUCUCUA